GGUUUAGGACCUCUAUAAAACUGUUAUUCACUGCAGUAGCACAUUAAGAACCUUAUAACGGAGAAAAGAGAAAGACCAGCAUCCAUCAGACGUCUCUCCACCAGAGCAGAUGGCUCGUCUGUGGUUCCUAGCAGUGGCACUGGUCAUCCUUUUGUCUGCUGGAAACAGUUUGGCUGGCAGAAACAAGAACAAGAAUCAGAACAAGAACAAGAUUCAGAACAGGAACAAGAAUCAGAACAAGAACAUCCCUAUGAGCAGGCUCACCCCUAUGAGCAAGAAGGCCACCACGAACAAGAACACUCCAAUGGACCCUCAAAGGCUUGCAAAUCUUGUAAAGGGCAUCCUUGACCGGUGAGAGACGGGAUUUUUCUCUAUCAACCAACAUUGAACGGCAACCCUAUCAUGUUCGCUAUGGCUGUGAGCAUCCCAUACAACCAAAAAAGAAAGAAGUUUGACCUUGAUGAAGUCCGUGACGACAGAGCAGCUGUGAGGAACAAGAUUGAGAAAUGCUUGGUGUACACUGGCAAAGACAUAGUUGCAGCCACUGUUCUGAAAUAUGACAAAGUGAAGGAACAAUGUCCCGAUACACCGGUGGAGUGGCGCGAGUUACUGCGAGGCUGCCCGAAUGUUAGAACGUGGGCUGAGUUUGAGUCGAAUCUUUGCCCUUUGGAUGUUAGGAAUAAAAACCUUGACGCAAUGAAAAAGAAAAAUCAAUUAGAGGAUCAUGGAGAGUAUCGUGUUCUGCAGCAUUUUGACACAUUGGUCAAAAGACGUACUAAAAAGUCCCUCUUGUUGUUUUACUCCUGGGGCUCCCCAUGUGACUAUAAAUGUACAAAUCAGAAUUAUCAAAACAACAUUCUCAAUGCAAUAGCCAACAUUAAGAAAUGGAAGAAUUAUGUGUUUGUGUUUUCUAAACCUUACAAACGUCCACGUGAAGUCAACCAACAAACACUUCAGAGCAACGCCCGUACAGCUCUAACGAAUCUUGGAAAUAGAAUCGAUCUGAGCAACAUCUUCCGCUGUGAUAAAGGUAAUAAUGGAAGAACUGCGUGUAAGAGUUGUUCCGAUAAUGGGAAAGUUUCUGAUUUUUGUGUCAGUGGUUAAGAAUAACAGGGUGGAGAUGGUGGACACUUGGUACAAAAAACGUGUUGUUUUGGUGGAUGUGAAAGAGAAGAAAACCCAUGAGACAUUUAUAUAGGUAUUAAAGAAAAAGGGCAGCAAAAAUGCCGAAAAAACAUGAAUCAAAUAUUUAAGUAAAAGUAACACAGGGGUAGAAAAGGAAGAGGUGAGAGGUUAAGGAUGAGAUUUUAAGUUUUAAAGUUACUGUAAUUGGUUUUCAAACUUUUUUUAGGCCACAGUUUGUGAUUUAUGCUCUUGGAUUCCAACUGUUCCCCAAACAACUAUGAAUUAAUUAAAGCAUCUGAUAUCCAAAAGGUUUUACUUUCCACAGACAUUAUUAUAAUAACAAAAAAUGAAUUAUAUGACAUUAUUAUGACAUUUAAAAGACCAAAAGUAUGUUUUUAAGGCCUCAUGUUGUUUACAUCAAUAAAUAAAAAACAACUUGGUGGUGAAGUCAAUACAGUCCAGGCUUUAACAGACCAACAAACAGAUUAGCAUCAACCAAUGAACAUAGGCUGUUAAAAACCACAGUCUAGGGACAUCUGUGUAUGUACAUCAACAUUAAUUAAACUAAAGUAUAAAGGUGCAUGUGAAUAUAAGAUAAUUUAUUAUGUUUAAUAUUUGACAGGAAAAGUCAGAAAAAAAUAUCUCCAUUAAGCAGUCUACAUUUUUAAAGAAAUUUAAUAAAAAAUAUAUAGAUGUAUUGAGUAAAUAUGGAGGUUUAUUAUUCAUACCUGGCAGUUUGUUUUAUAACACUUAACAAUAGGACAUCUCAGCCGGUGCGUAUCUCAGUCCUGACAUUUCUUAACCAAAUGUAAACGACUCUUAUCCAAACUACAUCCUACAUGUAUGUCAUUUGUUUGACACCUUUUAACUGAUAUGGUUUCUGACUUCAUAUUUUGUGUCUCUUGGUGCCGUCAUUGUCAUCUAUACAACUGUAAAUUAAACCAAAUGUUAUAUUUCUGUGGAUCUUUUGCAAUAAAGCUUAGCUGAGUAUC
Sphaeramia orbicularis (orbiculate cardinalfish) is the source of this 2117-nucleotide RNA transcript. RefSeq lists it as uncharacterized. NCBI's taxonomy places the organism in Eukaryota, Metazoa, Chordata, Actinopteri, Kurtiformes, Apogonidae. The transcript has 4 exons. The record is from RefSeq and is a predicted model, not a curated record.